CUCCCUGCGCACUGCGAUGGUGCCCGAGCGGAGCCGCGGCGGCGGAGGGGCGGCCGUGCCGCUGCUGCGCGGCUCCAGCCGGGCGCGGGGGCGGCGGCAGCAGCAGCAGCAGCAGCCCCGCAGACCAUAAUUUAUUUGGGCUUGGGAUCCCCAUGGCACGUGCACUAGAGGAUAAUUUGGAGUAGGAGGUGUUUUGGUCCUUGCCAAGAUGGUGGGCAAGCUGAAGCAGAACCUGCUGCUGGCGUGCCUGGUGAUCAGCUCGGUGACCGUGUUCUACCUGGGCCAGCACGCCAUGGAGUGCCACCACCGCAUGGAGGAGCGCGGGCAGCCCCCGCGGGGGGACGGCGCCAGGGCCGCCCUGGGCACGGCCCCCAGUGGCAUCGGUGGCAGUGCCAACAGGAGCCUGCCCUACAGCAAGGACAUGCCCCUGAUCUUCAUCGGGGGCGUCCCCCGCAGCGGCACCACGCUGAUGCGCGCCAUGCUGGACGCGCACCCCGACAUCCGCUGCGGGGAGGAGACCAGGGUGAUCCCCAGGAUCCUGGCCGUCAAACAGAUGUGGGCCAGGUCCAGCAAGGAGAAAAUCCGCCUGGACGAGGCCGGGGUGACGGAUGAGGUGCUGGAUUCGGCCAUGCAGGCCUUCCUGCUGGAGAUCAUCGUCAAGCACGGCGAGCCCGCUCCCUACCUGUGCAACAAGGAUCCCUUCGCUCUGAAAUCCUUGACUUACCUGGCCAGGAUCUUCCCCAACGCCAAAUUCCUGCUGAUGGUGCGGGAUGGCCGCGCCUCGGUGCACUCCAUGAUCUCCAGGAGGGUCACCAUAGCUGGCUUUGACCUCAACAGCUACAGGGACUGCCUGACCAAGUGGAACCGGGCCAUAGAGACCAUGUACAACCAGUGCAUGGAGGUGGGAUUCCAGAGGUGCAUGCUGGUGCACUACGAGCAGCUGGUGCUGCACCCCGAGAGGUGGAUGAGGACUCUGCUCAAGUUCCUGCACAUCCCCUGGAACCAGGCAGUGCUGCACCACGAGGAGAUGAUUGGAAAAGCAGGGGGGGUUUCUCUUUCCAAGGUUGAAAGAUCUACUGACCAAGUGAUCAAGCCAGUGAAUGUGGAAGCCCUGUCCAAGUGGGUGGGGAAGAUCCCAGCUGAUGUCCUGCAGGACAUGCCAGUGAUUGCCCCCAUGCUGGCCAAGCUGGGCUAUGACCCCUAUGCCAACCCCCCCAAUUAUGGCAAGCCAGAUCAGAAAGUGGUGGAAAACACCAGGAGGGUCUAUAAAGGUGAAUUUCAGCUUCCUGACUUCCUCAGAGAAGUGCCACAGCCAAAGAAGACAGUAGAAAGGAAGUCUCGUGGCAAGAUAAAAUGAACGUGGAGCAGUAAAGAGGCAUAGCUGUAACUGAACCUAUGGAAUAGAAGAUAAAAUGGACAUUUCUUGCACAGAAGAAGAUCAGCUGCUGCCUUUUCCAUGGGAAGGAUCCCUCAGGCCUGUCCCCCUGGCAUCAGAGAUGUGCUGCUCUUGGCCUGCUCUCUUCAGAAUGUUCUCUCCUCUUUCUUUCAUCUGUUUUUGUUCCAAAUUUUGCUGUUGUGAGCGCAUGUAAAGCUGUUAAAAAACAAAAAAAAAAUCACAGAUGUUAAUGUAGAACUGCAUUACAUUCGCACAAUUAUUUUUUUUUAAGGUUUUAAAAAAUGCGGAAGCAAUGCCUGUCUCUGAAAUUGCUCCUCUGUUUUAAUUACAGGGCUCCAUCUUCAGAUUUUAUUUUUUUUUGUUUCUUGUAGCAGUUUGGUUUUGAAUGUACAAAGCUUUCAAGAGUGGUCUGUGCUUGUCCUGAAAGAUUCUUGGUGGAAAAGUUGUUUGUUUUAUUCAUAUGUGAAAAAUGUUAAAUAUCUUUUAUUUAAAAAGAAAAAAAAGUUGAUAAAUUACAUGUACAAUUACAAUUCAAUGAUCUUUUGUAUUUUAUUUUUCAAAAUAAAUGCUUUAAAUGUGA
This is an RNA transcript of Melospiza georgiana, 1976 nucleotides long. It is a transcript of the gene named tyrosylprotein sulfotransferase 1, with no coding region annotated. The transcript has 7 exons. The record is from RefSeq and is a predicted model, not a curated record. Lineage: Eukaryota; Metazoa; Chordata; Aves; Passeriformes; Passerellidae.